UACGGUGGGGGCAAGCGUUGUUCGGAAUUACUGGGCGUAAAGGGCGCGUAGGCGGCCUUCUAAGUCGGACGUGAAAUCCCUCGGCUUAACCGAGGAACUGCGUCCGAUACUGAAAGGCUUGAAUCCGGGAGAGGGAUGUGGAAUUCCAGGUGUAGCGGUGAAAUGCGUAGAUAUCUGGAGGAACACCGGUGGCGAAGGCGGCAUCCUGGACCGGUAUUGACGCUGAGGCGCGAAAGCUAGGGGAGCAAACGGG
This 253-nucleotide ribosomal RNA is filed under the name uncultured bacterium. Its description in RNAcentral is "partial 16S ribosomal RNA". It matches the Rfam family "Bacterial small subunit ribosomal RNA", at positions 524 to 776 of the family's 1533-position model. The record is from RNAcentral.